UGGGGAAUAUUGGACAAUGGGCGCAAGCCUGCUCCAGCCAUGCCGCGUGAGUGAUGAAGGCCUUAGUGUUGUAAAGCUCUUUUGUCCGGGACGAUAAUGACGGUACCGGAAGUAUAAGCCCCGGCUAACUUCGUGCCAGCAGCCGCGGUAAUACGAAGGGGGCUAGCGUUGCUCGGAAUCACUGGGCGUAAAGGGCGCGUAGGCGGCCAUUCAAGUCGGGGGUGAAAGCCUGUGGCUCAACCACAGAAUUGCCUUCGAUACUGUUUGGCUUGAGACCGGAAGAGGUAAGUGGAACUGCGAGUGUAGAGGAGAAAUUCGUAGAUAUUCGCAAGAACACCAGUGGCGAAGGCGGCUUACUGGUCCGGUUCUGACGCUGAGGCGCGAAAGCGUGGGGAGCAAACAGG
This 404-nucleotide ribosomal RNA is filed under the name Bacillota bacterium. RNAcentral describes it as "Firmicutes bacterium partial 16S ribosomal RNA". It matches the Rfam family "Bacterial small subunit ribosomal RNA", at positions 355 to 776 of the family's 1533-position model. The record is from RNAcentral. Lineage: Bacteria; Bacillati; Bacillota.